GUCCCCGUAGUAUAACGGAUAAUAUAUAGCCCUCCGAAGGCUGAGAUAGAGGUUCAAUUCCUCUCGGGGACA
RNAcentral lists this transfer RNA (72 nucleotides) under Candidatus Liptonbacteria bacterium. Its description in RNAcentral is "tRNA-Arg". It matches the Rfam family "tRNA". From Rfam's summary of the family: Transfer RNA (tRNA) molecules are approximately 80 nucleotides in length. Their secondary structure includes four short double-helical elements and three loops (D, anti-codon, and T loops). The record is from RNAcentral. Lineage: Bacteria; Candidatus Liptoniibacteriota.